Molecule: long non-coding RNA, 2286 nt
Organism: Lactuca sativa (garden lettuce)
Lineage: Eukaryota; Viridiplantae; Streptophyta; Magnoliopsida; Asterales; Asteraceae
Source: RefSeq, a predicted model, not a curated record
UCCGUAUCUCGUCCAACCAACAACCUCCCCUCGAUGUCGCGCUUUCAUUCCCUUGUAAUCCGAUACGUCUGUUAACCAUUUACAUAACCAUCCAUGAUCCACCCACCUCUACUCUCACAUAUAUUUCUCAAUUUUAAGAUUUGAAGAACGCUCACUCCCCUCCAUAAACCCUACCCGCCACCACGAUGGCCACUCAACGCUGCAACCACCAUGUACAACCGCCAGCAAAAGCCAUCACAACCUACCGCCAACAAAGCUAACAAUCUCAGAAGGUUGGUUACUUGGAGAUGAAAAGCCCAUCCUUCCUUCGUCGCAUAAUCAGGGAACCAUCAAAGCUACACCGCGGUUUUCUCUUAUAUCCUCAUGAAAACGCAUCUCAAUACGGAUGAGAAAGUCAUCACUUCCCUCAUCUGCCGAAUCUUUUUUUCUCCAUCACAGAAAAACCCAAGGAAACCUUUAUUGUUAUCUCCGAGUUACAAAUCCCUAACCUUCUGGGUUUUUUUCUGUGAAUUUUACAGGUUGUAGUGUAUACGUGGAGUUAUUCUCGAGAUUUAGAAACAUUUUGUAGGUAUCUCAGGUUUAUCUUGCUGGUGAAUAUGCUCUAAGGAUCAUCUUUUUGAGUAUCGUUUGUAGAACCGUUCCCUCUGAUUUAGUUUUUAUUUCGAUUUAGUUUUUUCCCUAAUUCUUGAUUUUGAUUAACCCAGUUUUUGAAUCUAUUGAAGGCUUAAUGUUUGUUUCAGAUUUUGUUAUGUGGUUACUAAAAUUCAAUGAUCAUAUGUGUGCUGAUUCCCUUCUUGAAUUGAGAUCAUCUCUACUAUAUUCUUGUAUUUUCUUUACUAAUCUACUUAUUGUUCAAUCGAUUUUGGUAGUUUAUCUUGUGAUUAUGGUUGUUGAGGUAUGGGUUGGUGUGUGUAGUUGUGUGCAUCUUUAUGUAUUUGUGUGUAUCUGCAUGUAUUUGUAUAUUUAGGUGUGUGUAUUUUUGUGCAUACAUGUAUGUGUGUAGGCGUGUUUAUAUGUGUGAAAGAUUGUGUAUUUUGAAAUGAUGUUAUCAAAAGUCUGCUUUAAAGAGGCCAAUGUUUGUUGAAGCAUAUUGUAAUAUAGGGGUCAUCUAUAAAAAUCAUGGAGAUGGAGUCGGCUAUUGAUUGUUACAAGAGGUGUCGCCAAAUUUUGAGGUUUCAAAGAUUAACAUGGCAAUUUCUUUAAAACGAUUAUAAGAAUUUGUGCAUACCUGAUACAUUUUGAUGCCCAUACCCUUGGCAAGGCGAGAUCUGUUGUUAACUUUAUUAAGUUUUCAAUUGGAUAUUUCUUAUUUUUUUCUAUACUACUGCCGAAUGCAUAACAUAACUUGAUGUUACUGGGGAGAAUGAGAUCUUAAAGAAUGUCCCCAACAUGCAAAAAUGUUCAUGUAUUCAGUUUUCAAAAAGAUCGAUUUUUGUUAUCUCAUUAUUUUGUUAAUAGAAUCUGAUUUUUUAUUCUUGAUUUGGUUUACAAAACAUUUCCCUUCUUCGUUAUGUUGAUUUUAUCUUGCUUCUCAAAAUAUUAUGGUGGCUCAAAUGAUAGAUAUAGAACAUUUUUGGAUCUUUUUUUCUACCUGGAAAGGUCUGAUUCCACAAUGUCUGAUCUGUAACUUUUUGUUGUCACUUGAUAUUUUCCAACUUAUACUUUCAAAUGCUUAUCGUUUGCCUACAAUUCUCCAUGUAUGAUUCACCACACUCUUGUCUAUUUCCUAUUUUAUGAGACAAAAUACUUAACUCAAGCUCAUCCAUUUUUCUCUUUUUUGGCAUUAGAUAUCUUUUUGUGAUAAUGAAAUUAUUUUUUGUUUGAUCUGGUGUUAGGUUUGUCAUAGGAAGGAUUGUCGCUUUUUAUGGUUAUGAGAAUCAACACUUAGAGAAGAAUACAUCUACUCCUAUACCACCAUUACCACUAAAAAUGAACCAUCUUAUCGUUUAUUUUCUUCUAUGUAUUUGAUGUUUUUUUGUUGAUUGUCUAUUAAUGUGCGAUAUUGUUACAUGUUUUGGCUUUAUAGGUUUGACUCUAAAUUCAAGGCUUCAACUAUCGCUGUUUUGAAGGAAUGCAUUCUUAGGCUCAAAAUUUGCAUAUAAUUUAUGGAUAAUGGUGCAUGUGCUUAUAUUUAUCUCUUAUUAAAUACUUUAAAGAGAGUAGUAUAUUUUCUUACAAGUCUUUUAACCUGAGAAAACAUCAAUUGAUUUCCAGGAUUUUAGGUGCUUUUGUUGCUCUAAACAUCAAUUUAUCCCCUGCUUUAGCGUUGGUUGUCUUCUGGUUUCU